UCGGCCGUUGCUUCCCCUUGCCUCCAUUUGGGCCGGCCGAGCCCAAGAGGCUCACCUGCCGGCAACACGUCGAGGAUGACCAGGCUCCGGCGGUGCUGUGGAGGUUGGGGUGCGGUCGACCCUCUAUUUGGGGACUCGACCUGACCUGGGCGACGGACGGCCAACACCCCGGCGAGGAUGGCCGGCCACCGCUGCUCCCUCGCAUGUUUCUGAGCGUCGCCCAUGGGAGAAUAUCUCCAACUGCCGGCGUGCCCCAGAUGUGCAGCUUCUCACCGGCUUGCCGCCACAGCCCACAUAUCCUCUUGCCAUUGCGGUUUGCAAGAAGAUGCUCCACGUCUCUCACGAAGUGAUCGAGGCAGCGCAUCUCUCCGCUGAAGUGGCCCAUCGCCAGUGGCGGCAACCGCCCGCGGAAGAUUGGGGGCUGCUGCCGUUCAAAGGAAGUUCCAUGGUUGCCUAUUUGGAUUAGCAGGUAAAAAGAUUGUUGGGUCGAUCAUAUUUCUUUGGUCAUGCUGAAAUCGGUGGCACACAAGAUGCACAUUCCAAACAUCUUACUGAAGCUUUCUGUGCCAAGUAUAAUCUGCUAUAAUUCUGACAUGUUCUUCAGAUGUAUUAGAUGUAAUUUUUGGGCUUAAUUUCUAUUCUAGGAUGACAAACCUUCGAUCAACACUGGUCACCUGUCAAGAGUCCAGCAUCAUCUCCUAGCUCUUUCGUCUAUGAAUAUAUAGAUAUAUAGAUAACAAUCUCCUUAGCUACUGAUGCUCUUUUUAUUUAUGUUGGACAGAUAAUACCGUUGCUUCUUUUUUAUUCUUGAGUGUUAAGAAAUUUCUCAGGUAAUUCUAUUGAUGCAUGUUUGUUUUGGGGUAUCAAGAAAAGUUUCAGGGCACAAAAUAUCUCUUUAUGGCUCCUAAAAGCUUUUUGCUUUUGAAUAUUUUUCGUUAAGAUAGAACCUGCUAAUACUCGGUGCUCAAAUUAUGCAGCUUCGUACAGUCAAAUUAUGCCGCUUGGCAACCUUUACCUUAUUGUCAUAACGUGUAUCGGAAGGUCUAGGAUUUUUUAUUUUGAAGAUUGUCCAAUGAAAGACAAAGUAAUGUAUUUAAAAGGGUACGGUCUCUCUUCUUUAUUAAUAAAGCAUAACCAGUUAUAUUGACAUGUAUUUGAUCUCAUAAAAUCUUGACUGCUACACUGUUCAUUUAGGGCUUGAGUUUGGAUGGGAUUCUGUCUUUCUCCAAUUUUGUGGUUAUAAACCUACAGCCUAAAAUAGUGUCCCUGGCAUUGUCUUGGCCAUCUUAGGUUUUUCCAGAGUAAUACUCAUGUUUUUUAUGUGUAGAUUGGAUACUCAUUCCUCUCUUUUUAGAAAUAUCUUUGUGAAAUGGUAUGCUUAAAUGGGUUUGUAGUGUACCUAACAAAUCCAGAAUCUGCAUGAAUGUGUUGAUGUUUAGUUUAGCAUGUGCAGGGUUGUUAAACAACAGUCCUUGCUCUUAUUUUCUUGGUUUUGUUAAAUUCUGAAAGGUCUAUGUCUAUUCAGUGUGUUGUGUAAGAUUGAUCACCUACUGCGGAGCAUCGGAAAUAACAAGAGUUACCCCAUCCGAUCCAAAUUAGUUGAUGCAGAUUUAGGCAUUCUUGACUCUCGAGUAUGUAGUUAAAAGGAGUUGAUUUAUUUUGGUCUCAAACCUUGCUCCAUGCUCAGAUGCUUUGUCCAUGCACUGAUAUUUUUUUGAAGGGUGCGCACGAUAAAAUAUUUGGCUUUGAACUUAAUUUGGCUGCUUUGAAGAUUGAUAUGAUUUAAUUUGGUGACUAGAUCUUAGAAAAUACGACUAUGCAUGAAGCAGCCGGUACCCCUGUCAAAGCUACAGUAAAAGAGGUGAUUUUCAUUUUAUACACCCACAUGAUCAUCAAUAUGAGCUUGCAAACAUCUUUGAUCAACUUAUUAAGGGGAAAAUGACAGAUACCAUGGUACAUUGUUAUUGUUUUUCCAAGAAAAAAUUGAUUCUUUGCUUUCUACUUUAUCAACGAUAACCUGUAGUAUUCAUCAUGUAAAGAUCUUCAAACAGCCAUAAUUGUGUCAUUUGAUUCUAUAUUUUUACUACAAGAGAGAUUUUUCUUUGCUGCUUCUGAAUAUUUCAGCUUUGAAUUGAUUCAGAGAAGGAAUUCAUAUGUAUGGUGAUGUCCCUACAAUUUCCAUUUUUGGUUUUAGUCUGUAUUACCAGCACUGUUGUACUAUUCGAAAAGAAUUUAUACCCUUUUCUCUUCACGUGUGGCGUGCUUUCAGCGCGCGGUGGCGGUGUUGCUACGCGACGCGGUCCAGUGCAUUCGGUGCCUGUGCGUUUCGAUGGCAGUGGAAGUGGUGAUGGUUUUUUGCCUCAUCGGUCUUUCUGUUGUUGCCUGCUCACUUGCCUAACAAGAAUAUGUCUCGGAAUUCCUAUCGAUGGAAGAUCAUGGUUCUAUUUGCUGGGAUCUGUGAGUUUAGGAGUCCAGAUCAGGGGACUCUCUUCUCACUUGAUUUUAUUAUCGUUUACCAACAUGUUAUAUCUAUUCUCUUUGCUUUUCUAUUUGUCAAGUUGUUCAGGUGUAAUCUAUCAAUCUAUUUAUUGAUGUUCUGCAGCCUUACGCCAUUUUAUCCCGCUUUGUAGUGGCUCAACUUGUGUGUAUUCAUUUUUUUUCAAUUUCUUAAUCCUUUGAUUGGUGCGCAUAGUUAACAUGCCUUAUUCCAUUCAGAGUUGAGAGAUAAGUGUUUUUUUUUUAAAUUUGGGCAAUCCCUAUCAUAGUUACUUGAUUUGAUCAUUCCUUCAAUUUUCCCCUAUGUUGUUCUACUCUCUGAUUAGAAUUUUUCUUUUCCUCUUUGUUCCUGGGUGAUUUACAUAAAUCCAUAAUGGAAGGUUUACUUCCUGGUGAUAUAGUGGAUCAAUUUAGGGAUUAGCUGAAGGAGGGGUCUGUAUACAUCAUUAACAAGUUUUAUCUAUAUGAUCCCAAAAGGAGCUAUAGGUCAGUGUACCAUCCUUUGAGGAUCUGCUUCACUAUGAGAACUAUUCUGAUGGAGGUGGAGCCACCGCUAGAGAUUUUUCCUAUGUUUGCCUAUACUGCUCCCCCUUUCAGCAUGCUGUCAGAUCGCAUCGACAAAAUUAUACUUUUACCUGGUACAAAUGUGGCCGGUUUGAUUGUUGAUUUAUUUUAUACCCUUUGUAUUGUUAGCAAAUUGUGUUUUCUUCUGUGGUAAUUUAAUUGCUUCGUGUACAUUUAUAGAUGUUGUUGGAUUGGUGAGAAAAGUCACAUGUUUUGCCUCCAUCUGGCAAUGCUAGGAGCCAGAAAUGGCAGGUGCCGAAUUGCUUCUGUUUUUGGUUUUAUUUUUCAGACCAAAUACUUGCUUCUUCUGAUUAAUAUCUAAUUCAUACAUGCGUUAGUUCAUGAGGCGAACAUGCUGUUGUUACCCUGUGGGGGGAGCUUGCUGAUUAUUUGAUGCUGAUGGAUUGAUGGAGGCAUCAAAUUAAGAGCCCGUCAUCGUCUUAUUUGUUGGCAUGACAGUUAGACAGGCAUCAAAUUAAGAGCCCGUCAUCAUCUUAUUUGUUGGCAUGACAGUUAGACAGUACUCAGGUCAUACACUCUCGACUAUUUUUUUUGUUGCCGUUCGGUGCUUUUUUCCUUUCUGAUUUAUGCUAACUAUAAUAUUUGAUAUUCUACAUGUUUAUUGGCCUUCAACGGCACAUCUACUACAAGAUGGCAUGUUAAUAUGCCAAUUCCAGAGAUUGCUACUGUUUGGGAAAGGUCGAAGCAUAUGUGGUGGCAUAUCGAGCUGCACAAUGGAAACUAGGUUCAUGUUGAGCCGACCGUAUCAACAAUCAUAGAAAUAUCAACAUUUGAACCAAAUGAUAGCAUGGCAUGUUCGGUGUCUAGAAUUGGUCAGUAAUUCUCAGAGUACGCUACAAGAUAUUUGUUAGAAUCAACGAAGUUCUCACAGAAAAGGGCUGGUAUUAGAUAAGAUGCAAAGAAUACUGGAAGAAACUUGAGUUAGAGGAUGGAGUAUACAAGUGCCCUCCGUGCGCUACUGCUAUACCACUGCCAAGACUUAUAUUUGUUUGAGACUUGAGGAGAGAUUGUCCUUUGAAAGGAGGCAUUGUUGCUUGUGUCAAGUGUCAGAGGGCAGGCUAAUACCGUGCCCCCGGAUUUGCUUGCCAUCGUGGGAAGAGAAUUCAGUGUUGUUGUCACUCCAAGACGUGAAUCAUUGGAUGCGUUGCACACUACAGAUUGCUGAGCCGAUUGUAUGUGCGAAUGUUACUGUGCGACAAGGCAUGGAUGGUUCGGCUGCGGGUCAGAAUAAUGAGGAUCUCCCUAUUCCUCAAACUCCAAAGCAGGUUCAAGGUCCUUGUAAGACCUCAACUCCGCCACCAUCUAUGGAUCUCACGCAACAGAGUGCACCAUCAUCAGCUUCUAUAGUCGAUGAGGUAAAAUUGUGUUGUCUUAGCAGAGCACCCUGCAUUUUUGGGUUCUGUAGUGCUACGAAUUAACAGGUAGUGGUAUAACAAGCAGAGCUGAGCUACGUCUGGCAGGCUUACCGUGUAAUCUUUUCCCACCUACCAUGAUUCAAUACGUGGUCAGUCCUUUUUGUAUGGUGAAAGAGCAUAUAACAUCCCUUGACGAUCCACCAAAUGCAUUCAGCAGAGCUGUGUCCUCCUACACUUUCUCAGUUUGUCUGCAAAUGUGCGCAAAAUUCCUUGGUGGAUACAGGUGAAGCUGCUUCCUCUGAUUUUCAGUGAUCCAUCAACAAUGUCGGUGUAUUGAGAGAAUUAUAGAUUAGUGUGGCCACACGAAGUUACUAAGUAUCCUUUUCUAUCAGGCAUGUUAUCUUCUCCUCUGUGUAACAUAUGAAUGGUGUACAAUUUUAGAAAUAUGAAUAAAGGACACACUGUUCGGUCA
Long non-coding RNA from Lolium rigidum, 4908 nucleotides. RefSeq lists it as uncharacterized. NCBI's taxonomy places the organism in Eukaryota, Viridiplantae, Streptophyta, Magnoliopsida, Poales, Poaceae. The transcript is spliced from 4 exons. The record is from RefSeq and is a predicted model, not a curated record.